RNAcentral lists this ribosomal RNA (743 nucleotides) under Metschnikowia chrysomelidarum. RNAcentral's name for it is "LSU rRNA". It matches the Rfam family "Eukaryotic large subunit ribosomal RNA", at positions 85 to 910 of the family's 3401-position model. The record is from RNAcentral. Lineage: Eukaryota; Fungi; Ascomycota; Pichiomycetes; Serinales; Metschnikowiaceae.
AACGGCGAGUGAAGCGGCAAAAGCUCAAAUUUGAAAUCCCCCGGGAAUUGUAAUUUGAAGGACRGGAGAACCCCUCCAAAGUAUCUUUAAGUCCAUUGGAAAAUGGCGCCACAGAAGGUGAUAGCCCUGUAAAAAGCUACUUUGUUGAUAUUUCUCCCGCCCAAAGAGUCGAGUUGUUUGGGAAUGCAGCUCUAAGUGGGUGGUAAAUUCCAUCUAAAGCUAAAUAUUGGCGAGAGACCGAUAGCGAACAAGUACAGUGAUGGAAAGAUGAAAAGCACUUUGAAAAGAGAGUGAAAAAGUACGUGAAAUUGUUGAAAGGGAAGGGCUUGCAAGCAGACACAACCUCGUGUUGGGCCAGCAUCGGGGCGAGGGGAGCCAAAAAAGUGUUGGAAUGUGGCUCUUUUAGAGUGUUAUAGCCUUCACCAAUAUCUCCAUCUCAUCCCGAGGCCUGCGAUUCUUCAAGGAUGCUGGCGUAAUGGUUGCAAGUCGCCCGUCUUGAAACACGGACCAAGGAGUCUAACGUCUAUGCGAGUGUUUGGGUGCCAAACUCAUACGCGCAAUGAAAGUAAUAGGAGCGAACCUUUAUCGGUGCAGCUUCGACCACAUUGAGGCCUAAACCACAAUGUGAGUAAGCAUGGCUGUUGGGACCCGAAAGAUGGUGAACUAUACCUGGAUAGGGUGAAGCCAGAGGAAACUCUGGUGGAGGCUSGUAGCGGUUCUGACGUGCAAAUCGAUCGUCGAAU